ACGGGGGGAGCGAACGUUGUUCGGAAUCACUGGGCGUAAAGGGCGCGUAGGCGGCCACCGCAAGUCAGUUGUGAAAUCUCUGGGCUUAACCCAGAAAGGUCAACUGAUACUGCGGGGCUAGAGUGCAGAAGGGGCAACUGGAAUUCUCGGUGUAGUGGUGAAAUGCGUAGAUAUCGAGAGGAACACCUGCGGCGAAGGCGGGUUGCUGGGCUGACACUGACGCUGAGGCGCGAAAGCUAGGGGAGCGAACGGGA
RNAcentral lists this ribosomal RNA (254 nucleotides) under uncultured prokaryote. Its description in RNAcentral is "partial 16S ribosomal RNA". It matches the Rfam family "Bacterial small subunit ribosomal RNA", at positions 525 to 777 of the family's 1533-position model. The record is from RNAcentral.